Molecule: non-coding RNA, 201 nt
Organism: Pelobates cultripes (western spadefoot toad)
Lineage: Eukaryota; Metazoa; Chordata; Amphibia; Anura; Pelobatidae
Source: the annotation of a GenBank genome assembly
GCAGUGCCCCCAUGUGACACCGGAGCCGCGGACCCCAGCGGGUCAGGGCAUGACCAAGCUGCAGACGGGUACAAUGAUACCCGUCUGCUCACUCCCGUGUCUAGGAGGGAACACCAAUCGUGGCAGGCAGCUGAGCGUUUGGAGCGAGCAAACCGGUGAGCCGUCAGGAGAAGGCAAAACUGCCAGGAGGAGAGCUGCAAC